CCUACGGGAGGCAGCAGUGGGGAAUAUUGCGCAAUGGACGAAAGUCUGACGCAGCAACGCCGCGUGAGGGAUGACGGCCUUCGGGUUGUAAACCUCUUUCAGCAGGGACGAAGCGAGAGUGACGGUACCUGCAGAAGAAGGACCGGCCAACUACGUGCCAGCAGCCGCGGUAAUACGUAGGGUCCGAGCGUUGUCCGGAAUUAUUGGGCGUAAAGGGCUCGUAGGCGGUUCGUCACGUCGGGAGUGAAAACUCGGGGCUUAACCCCGAGCCUGCUUCCGAUACGGGCAGACUAGAGGUAGGCAGGGGAGAGCGGAACUCCUGGUGUAGCGGUGGAAUGCGCAGAUAUCAGGAAGAACACCGGUGGCGAAGGCGGCUCUCUGGGCCUUACCUGACGCUGAGGAGCGAAAGCGUGGGUAGCGAACAGGAUUAGAUACCCCAG
RNAcentral lists this ribosomal RNA (440 nucleotides) under uncultured bacterium. Its description in RNAcentral is "bacterial SSU rRNA". It matches the Rfam family "Bacterial small subunit ribosomal RNA", at positions 338 to 790 of the family's 1533-position model. The record is from RNAcentral.